This 468-nucleotide ribosomal RNA is filed under the name uncultured bacterium. RNAcentral describes it as "partial 16S ribosomal RNA". It matches the Rfam family "Bacterial small subunit ribosomal RNA", at positions 28 to 507 of the family's 1533-position model. The record is from RNAcentral.
GACGAACGCUGGCGGCGUGCUUAACACAUGCAAGUCGAACGGAAAGGCCCUGCUUUUGUGGGGUGCUCGAGUGGCGAACGGGUGAGUAACACGUGAGUAACCUGCCCUUGACUUUGGGAUAACUUCAGGAAACUGGGGCUAAUACCGGAUAGGAGCUCCUGCUGCAUGGUGGGGGUUGGAAAGUUUCGGCGGUUGGGGAUGGACUCGCGGCUUAUCAGCUUGUUGGUGGGGUAGUGGCUUACCAAGGCUUUGACGGGUAGCCGGCCGGAGAGGGUGACCGGCCACAUUGGGACUGAGAUACGGCCCAGACUCCUACGGGAGGCAGCAGUGGGGAAUAUUGCACAAUGGGCGGAAGCCUGAUGCAGCAACGCCGCGUGCGGGACGACGGCCUUCGGGUUGUAAACCGCUUUCGCCUGUGACGAAGCGUGAGUGACGGUAAUGGGUAAAGAAGCACCGGCUAACUGCGUG